UACGUAGGGCGCAAGCGUUGUCCGGAAUUAUUGGGCGUAAAGAGCUCGUAGGCGGUUUGUCGCGUCUGGUGUGAAAACUCAAGGCUCAACCUUGAGCUUGCAUCGGGUACGGGCAGACUAGAGUGUGGUAGGGGUGACUGGAAUUCCUGGUGUAGCGGUGGAAUGCGCAGAUAUCAGGAGGAACACCGAUGGCGAAGGCAGGUCACUGGGCCACUACUGACGCUGAGGAGCGAAAGCAUGGGGAGCGAACAGG
This 253-nucleotide ribosomal RNA is filed under the name uncultured bacterium. RNAcentral's name for it is "partial 16S ribosomal RNA". It matches the Rfam family "Bacterial small subunit ribosomal RNA", at positions 524 to 776 of the family's 1533-position model. The record is from RNAcentral.